GGCACAGGGAUUAGGAGGUGGAAGUGUCUUUUGAAAAAGGCCUUUCUCUUCCCAGGGCUUCCAGUGCACCUGAGAAUUCUGGAAAGAAAAGCCAGGAGCAGAGAUCUUGGAGCCUGAGCUUGGGAGCUGUGAAUUUAACCCUGGUGCUUCCUGUAAUUUGUUUUGUGACCCUGGACAAGUCCCUUAUGGCUAUAGCAUUGGGAUCGGGUAACAAAGACCUCCGAGGCCUCUCCCAGGAGACAAUGUACAGCAUCAGACUGAGACGGGCUCAAAACCUAGUCCUGACUGCAGAGCCCCCUAAACCACAGAUGAGGAAGAUGAUUUUCCCAAGGUCUCAGUUCUAAGAAUGGUAGCACCAGAAAACUGAUACCAGUGUUAGUGCGUGGUCUAUCUAACAUCAGCUGCCUCUUUAAUUAUUGAGGUAAUUGUAGCAGACUAAAGGUUCCUCAUGAAAAGACAAAAUUCUCUUGUGGCCUUGCUCCAUGCCUCUGUCAAGACAGGCAUCCAAGCUGAUUGUUCCAGCCAUUUAAUGACUAAUCCUGAACCUCCCUGCUCCAUGGCUAUGCCAGUUAGAGAGAAGCAAUAUUGCUUGCCUCUGGAUUAUUUCAGUUCAGCUACUGUCAAAAUAGCAUAAACAUGUGACAGAUCUUCCCAGCUAUGUGAAGAAUUGAGGCACUGGAUGCAAUACAGACAGUAGAAGUCACUGCAGCAGUUCAAGUACUUCCUCAAAGGACUUCCAGCCAUAUAUAUGCAAUCUAGUCACAUAAAAGCCUUUGAAGAGUGGACAAGACAAAGAUCAACGGGGAUAUUUUUCUCAAGAAUAAAGUUUGCUAUAAGUCAUGUUUAAAAGACAUGUCAAGAUGUUUAAGGAUACUUCAAGGUACUUGAGAGAUGAGUUUCCCUCAUGGGACAUGAGUGAUUCUUAGCAUUGAUUUGUUCUCCCAAAACAAAAGAACAGAAAAAAAAUAGAAUCAAACAAUCCUA
Long non-coding RNA from Suricata suricatta (meerkat), 984 nucleotides. RefSeq lists it as uncharacterized. The record is from RefSeq and is a predicted model, not a curated record. The transcript has 4 exons. Lineage: Eukaryota; Metazoa; Chordata; Mammalia; Carnivora; Herpestidae.